Molecule: non-coding RNA, 148 nt
Filed under: Nomascus leucogenys (northern white-cheeked gibbon)
Lineage: Eukaryota; Metazoa; Chordata; Mammalia; Primates; Hylobatidae
Source: Rfam by way of RNAcentral
GCCAGGCAUGGUGGCACAUGCCUGUAAUCCCAGCUACUCGGGAGGCUGAGGCAGGAGACUUGCUUGAACCCAGGAGGCGGAGGUUGCAGUGAGCCGAGAUCGCACCACUGCACUCCAGCCUGGGCAACAGAGCGAGACUCUGCCUCAA